GUGCUCGCUUCAGCAGCACAUAUACUAAAACUGGGACGAUACAGAGAAGAUUGGCAUGGCCCCUGUGCAAGGAUGACAUGCAAAUUUCUAAAGCAUCCCAUAUUUAA
Molecule: small nuclear RNA, 107 nt
Organism: Phacochoerus africanus (Common warthog)
Lineage: Eukaryota; Metazoa; Chordata; Mammalia; Artiodactyla; Suidae
Source: RefSeq, a predicted model, not a curated record